RNAcentral lists this long non-coding RNA (214 nucleotides) under Bos taurus (domestic cattle). RNAcentral's name for it is "long non-coding RNA NONBTAT000625". The record is from RNAcentral. Lineage: Eukaryota; Metazoa; Chordata; Mammalia; Artiodactyla; Bovidae.
CAAAAAGAUGUUCAGGAAAUAUUAGCUGAUGAAUGAAUAAGUCCCACAGUGCCUCACAGAAAGUAUCAAAAACUUGUAGUGUUUACAGAUGCUUUCAAGUCAUAAUUUCCUUUACAUUGUACUCUUGAUUCUAAAGGGUAGUCUGAGGGCAUUCCUCACCUGUCUGCCUGGAGAAUUAAAACCCAAGUGCUGUUGGCCUCAGUGGAGCAUGGGG